CAACUUCAUACGCCGAAUUUCCGCAGGAAAACGGGGGAACCAUACAUUGGGGUGAAUUUUACCGCUUGUGCCUGAAUAGGGCAGGGUAAAUAGGGUGGCCUGUACAUCCGAAUCCGUCAGCUAACCUCGUAGGCGACAGCAGGAACCAUAA
Molecule: non-coding RNA, 151 nt
Organism: Paenibacillus sp. HGF7
Lineage: Bacteria; Bacillati; Bacillota; Bacilli; Caryophanales; Paenibacillaceae
Source: Rfam